UUGACCUCGAAUCAGGUAGGAAUACCCGCUGAACUUAAGCAUAUCAAUAAGCGGAGGAAAAGAAACCAACCGGGAUUACCUCAGUAACGGCGAGUGAAGCGGUAACAGCUCAAAUUUGAAAUCUGGCUCCUUCGGAGUCCGAGUUGUAAUUUGUAGAAGAUGCUUUGGGUUGUGGGCUCGGCCUAAGUUCCUUGGAACAGGACGUCAUAGAGGGUGAGAAUCCCGUAUGUGGCCAUGGCCCGCGCCUAUGUAAAGCUCUUUCGACGAGUCGAGUUGUUUGGGAAUGCAGCUCAAAAUGGGUGGUAAAUUUCAUCUAAAGCUAAAUAUGGGCCAGAGACCGAUAGCGCACAAGUAGAGUGAUCGAAAGAUGAAAAGCACUUUGGAAAGAGAGUUAAACAGUACGUGAAAUUGUUGAAAGGGAAGCGCUUGCAACCAGACUUGGGCGCUGCCGAUCACCCCGAGUUCUCUCGGGUGCACUCGACAGCGCACAGGCCAGCAUCGGUUCGGGUGGCUGGAUAAAGGCCGUAGGAAUGUAGCUCUCUUCGGGGAGUGUUAUAGCCCACGGUGCCAUGCAGCCCAGCCGGACCGAGGACCGCGCCUUCGGGCUAGGAUGCUGGCGUAAUGGUUGUAAGCGACCCGUCUUGAAACACGGACCAAGGAGUCUAACAUCUAUGCGAGUGUUUGGGCGUUAAACCCAUGCGCGGAAUGAAAGUGAACGUAGGUGAGAACCCCUUUGGGGCGCAUCAUCGACCGAUCCUGAUGUCUUCGGAUGGAUUUGAGUAAGAGCAUAGC
RNAcentral lists this ribosomal RNA (792 nucleotides) under Erysiphe neolycopersici. Its description in RNAcentral is "partial 28S ribosomal RNA". It matches the Rfam family "Eukaryotic large subunit ribosomal RNA", at positions 1 to 806 of the family's 3401-position model. The record is from RNAcentral. Lineage: Eukaryota; Fungi; Ascomycota; Leotiomycetes; Helotiales; Erysiphaceae.